RNAcentral lists this ribosomal RNA (874 nucleotides) under Leuconostoc mesenteroides. RNAcentral's name for it is "bacterial SSU rRNA". It matches the Rfam family "Bacterial small subunit ribosomal RNA", at positions 8 to 863 of the family's 1533-position model. The record is from RNAcentral. Lineage: Bacteria; Bacillati; Bacillota; Bacilli; Lactobacillales; Lactobacillaceae.
AGAGUUUGAUUCUGGCUCAGGAUGAACGCUGGCGGCGUGCCUAAUACAUGCAAGUCGAACGCACAGCGAAAGGUGCUUGCACCUCUCAAGUGAGUGGCGAACGGGUGAGUAACACGUGGACAACCUGCCUCAAGGCUGGGGAUAACAUUUGGAAACAGAUGCUAAUACCGAAUAAAACUCAGUGUCGCAUGACACAAAGUUAAAAGGCGCUUUGGCGUCACCUAGAGAUGGAUCCGCGGUGCAUUAGUUAGUUGGUGGGGUAAAGGCCUACCAAGACAAUGAUGCAUAGCCGAGUUGAGAGACUGAUCGGCCACAUUGGGACUGAGACACGGCCCAAACUCCUACGGGAGGCUGCAGUAGGGAAUCUUCCACAAUGGGCGAAAGCCUGAUGGAGCAACGCCGCGUGUGUGAUGAAGGCUUUCGGGUCGUAAAGCACUGUUGUAUGGGAAGAACAGCUAGAAUAGGGAAUGAUUUUAGUUUGACGGUACCAUACCAGAAAGGGACGGCUAAAUACGUGCCAGCAGCCGCGGUAAUACGUAUGUCCCGAGCGUUAUCCGGAUUUAUUGGGCGUAAAGCGAGCGCAGACGGUUGAUUAAGUCUGAUGUGAAAGCCCGGAGCUCAACUCCGGAAUGGCAUUGGAAACUGGUUAACUUGAGUGCAGUAGAGGUAAGUGGAACUCCAUGUGUAGCGGUGGAAUGCGUAGAUAUAUGGAAGAACACCAGUGGCGAAGGCGGCUUACUGGACUGUAACUGACGUUGAGGCUCGAAAGUGUGGGUAGCAAACAGGAUUAGAUACCCUGGUAGUCCACACCGUAAACGAUGAACACUAGGUGUUAGGAGGUUUCCGCCUCUUAGUGCCGAAGCUAACGCAUUAA